This 838-nucleotide long non-coding RNA is filed under the name Carica papaya (papaya). RNAcentral's name for it is "long non-coding RNA (CPAP_LNC007579)". The record is from RNAcentral. Lineage: Eukaryota; Viridiplantae; Streptophyta; Magnoliopsida; Brassicales; Caricaceae.
AUGUAAAUAAAAGUAUAGUUUGAUUCAAGUCUUAGAUUUUUUAUUAAAAAAAAAAUGUAUCAACUAUUAACUUAAGUAAUAAUUGAUAAUAAAUUAAUUGCUUGUGAGAAAGAUAAAAGAAAUUGUAAUAAUUCUCUCUCUCUCUCUCUCUCUCUAUAUAUAUAUAUAUAUCUCUCUUUCUCUAGUUGUGCUCCAUGCAUAUAUGAAUAACUUUUAAAAGUUAUAUUUAACUAAAUUCAAGAGUCAGAGAAUACACCAUGUUUUUAGAUCACAACAACAAGAUAACUAUAUAUUAACGAUGAUUAAGCUUGAAAUUAAACAUGGUUCGAUUCUGCUAAGAAAUAGCUUAAAUAGAAGAUUAAGAGAAUUAAUUAAACAAGUUUCUUAGUUCUUGAAUUGAGGAGAUGAUAAUUAUAUUAUAUAUAUAUAUAUAUAUAUAAGUUGUAGGUAAAUUAGAGACCAUAGAAGGAAGAUAGAGUCCUUAGAAGACUGACUUUAGCUUGUAGUAGAAAUAUAUAACGAGCAGUGUUUUGAAACAAAGCUUCCAUAUCCACCGUACGGCUGCCAGGAACCAGCCUCUGCAACUCCUUAACCUUCUUCUUCUCCAUCUUUCUUCUCUUUACCCUUCGCAUAUUCACCCACCCAUUUCUCCAUUUGGGGCCAUGCCUUGUUGACCGCAUUUUUUUUCUCUUAAUUCUUAUACUAAAUCAGAUAUAUUUGUAAGGAGUAGAGACUGCCAUGGAGUUCAAUUAAUAUAUAUACACAACGUAUAUAUCCACAUCUCUCCCGUGCGGAUAUAUAAACAUUAUUUGGCUGCACACGUGUGAGAUAUAUAUAU